This 307-nucleotide long non-coding RNA is filed under the name Sarcophilus harrisii (Tasmanian devil). RNAcentral describes it as "lncRNA (ENSSHAG00000027415.1)". Lineage: Eukaryota; Metazoa; Chordata; Mammalia; Dasyuromorphia; Dasyuridae. The record is from RNAcentral.
UUCUGGACUCAAAUGUGACUCUUAGACACUUACUAAGCGGUGUGACCCUAGGUAUCACCAGUACCAUGAACUGGAUCAGAGAAACAGAAGUUAACAAAGGCCAAAGAAGAGAAUAACCACGGAUGGUAAUGGAGCUGUCACAGAGAAGAGAGAAGUGGAAAUUCAUGGUUCUCUUGUGAGGCAAAGACAUCUGUGUUAUUGCACCCUAAGCCAAUAGUUUUUAAAACAAAGUCAUAAAACAAGCUACUGUAUAUAACAGGGAUGGAAAAUAUGUGGAGCUUUCCUCCGCCCUUUACAGGUCUCUGAG